UAGGGAAUCUUCCGCAAUGGACGAAAGUCUGACGGAGCAACGCCGCGUGAGCGAAGAAGGUCUUCGGAUCGUAAAGCUCUGUUGUCAGGGAAGAACAAGUACCGUUCGAACAGGGCGGUACCUUGACGGUACCUGACGAGGAAGCCACGGCUAACUACGUG
Molecule: ribosomal RNA, 161 nt
Filed under: uncultured Bacillaceae bacterium
Lineage: Bacteria; Bacillati; Bacillota; Bacilli; Caryophanales; Bacillaceae
Description: partial 16S ribosomal RNA
Rfam family: Bacterial small subunit ribosomal RNA
Source: RNAcentral